RNAcentral lists this ribosomal RNA (639 nucleotides) under Lactobacillus johnsonii. Its description in RNAcentral is "bacterial SSU rRNA". It matches the Rfam family "Bacterial small subunit ribosomal RNA", at positions 61 to 673 of the family's 1533-position model. Lineage: Bacteria; Bacillati; Bacillota; Bacilli; Lactobacillales; Lactobacillaceae. The record is from RNAcentral.
GCCUAGAUGAUUUUAGUGCUUGCACUAAAUGAAACUAGAUACAAGCGAGCGGCGGACGGGUGAGUAACACGUGGGUAACCUGCCCAAGAGACUGGGAUAACACCUGGAAACAGAUGCUAAUACCGGAUAACAACACUAGACGCAUGUCUAGAGUUUGAAAGAUGGUUCUGCUAUCACUCUUGGAUGGACCUGCGGUGCAUUAGCUAGUUGGUAAGGUAACGGCUUACCAAGGCAAUGAUGCAUAGCCGAGUUGAGAGACUGAUCGGCCACAUUGGGACUGAGACACGGCCCAAACUCCUACGGGAGGCAGCAGUAGGGAAUCUUCCACAAUGGACGAAAGUCUGAUGGAGCAACGCCGCGUGAGUGAAGAAGGGUUUCGGCUCGUAAAGCUCUGUUGGUAGUGAAGAAAGAUAGAGGUAGUAACUGGCCUUUAUUUGACGGUAAUUACUUAGAAAGUCACGGCUAACUACGUGCCAGCAGCCGCGGUAAUACGUAGGUGGCAAGCGUUGUCCGGAUUUAUUGGGCGUAAAGCGAGUGCAGGCGGUUCAAUAAGUCUGAUGUGAAAGCCUUCGGCUCAACCGGAGAAUUGCAUCAGAAACUGUUGAACUUGAGUGCAGAAGAGGAGAGUGGAACUCCAUG